Molecule: ribosomal RNA, 488 nt
Filed under: Spinoserolis beddardi
Lineage: Eukaryota; Metazoa; Arthropoda; Malacostraca; Isopoda; Serolidae
Description: partial 16S ribosomal RNA
Rfam family: Bacterial large subunit ribosomal RNA
Source: RNAcentral
CGCCUAAAAUUAUUCUAGGUAAAAUCUGCCCAAUGAACGUUGAAUGGCCGCAGUAUCCUGACUGUGCUAAGGUAGCAUAAUCAUUUGUCUUUUAAAUGAAGGCUUGUAUGAAGGAUUUGACAUAGAAUUUUCUGUCUCAACUAUUUUAUUGAAUUUCCUUUUAAAGUUAAAAAGCUUUUUAUUCUAAGGGGACGACAAGACCCUAUAAAACUUUACCUCUCUAAUAAAAUUAUAAUAUAGAGAUUUAUUUUGAAAUCGAGGUUUUACUGGGGCGGUAAGAAUUUAUAAUUUUCAACUCUCAUUUAAACAAUUUUUAUGAUCUUUAUAAACUUAUUUAUAAAAUUGAUAACAAGUUACUUUAGGGAUAACAGCACUAUUUUUUUUAAGAGCCCCUAUCGCCGAAAAAGUUUGUGACCUCGAUGUUGAAUUGAGUUUCCUUUACAGAGCAGCUUUUGUAAUAAGAAAGUCUGUUCGACUUGUAAUUUCUC